Long non-coding RNA from Arabidopsis thaliana (thale cress), 553 nucleotides. RefSeq annotates it as other RNA. The transcript has a single exon. NCBI's taxonomy places the organism in Eukaryota, Viridiplantae, Streptophyta, Magnoliopsida, Brassicales, Brassicaceae. The record is from RefSeq.
GAAAAAUACUUAGAUUCCAUGAGAGUUAUAUCAAUCUCACUAGUAGAAAAGACAAGCUAUAUAAAAUAAAAACAAGGAAGGAUUCAUGCAUAGAUAGAAUCAGCAUAUAACAAGUUAAGGCCGGCACCACUACUAUGCUAGAGGACAGCACCGGACCACUCAAUGUUCGCUGAAACCUCCCCCAUCCCUCGGGUCUAUGGCGUCUGGUCAGAGAAAGCUCGGCAUACCAAAGCUCCAAAAUGUGAUCAGGCCGCCGGGCUUCCCAGAAGAUGGUCAACCUCUGAGCAGAGAAGGCGCAAAGUUUAAUGAUAUUAAAAGAAGCACGUCACCACCAGAGUUAGAGUGUCGCUGCUGCAAAUCUUCCAAACCCUUGACUUCCUUCCAAUCAGUUUCCUCUGGAAAACGCCACAGUAUUUUCCCGGACAUACCACAUCAGAAUAUAAUAAUGCCUCAAAUAAAACCCAAUCGUUUCUAUUUUCUGGGUUAGACUUGAUCCGGUUGUCAUAAAGCAACAACGCCUUGUUGAGAAGAAAAAGAUUUGACUAUUCUCAUC